UGGGGAAUAUUGCACAAUGGGCGCAAGCCUGAUGCAGCCAUGCCGCGUGUGUGAAGAAGGCCUUCGGGUUGUAAAGCACUUUCAGCGGGGAGGAAGGCGAUAAGGUUAAUAACCUUGUCGAUUGACGUUACCCGCAGAAGAAGCACCGGCUAACUCCGUGCCAGCAGCCGCGGUAAUACGGAGGGUGCAAGCGUUAAUCGGAAUUACUGGGCGUAAAGCGCACGCAGGCGGUCUGUCAAGUCGGAUGUGAAAUCCCCGGGCUCAACCUGGGAACUGCAUUCGAAACUGGCAGGCUAGAGUCUUGUAGAGGGGGGUAGAAUUCCAGGUGUAGCGGUGAAAUGCGUAGAGAUCUGGAGGAAUACCGGUGGCGAAGGCGGCCCCCUGGACAAAGACUGACGCUCAGGUGCGAAAGCGUGGGGGGCAAACCGG
RNAcentral lists this ribosomal RNA (429 nucleotides) under Chloroflexota bacterium. RNAcentral describes it as "Chloroflexi bacterium partial 16S ribosomal RNA". It matches the Rfam family "Bacterial small subunit ribosomal RNA", at positions 355 to 776 of the family's 1533-position model. The record is from RNAcentral. Lineage: Bacteria; Bacillati; Chloroflexota.